GCCUGGGUGGCUCAGUUGGUUGAGCGUCCGACUUCAGCUCAGGUCAUGACCUCGCUGUCUGUGAGUUCAAGCCCCACGUCAGGCU
This 85-nucleotide transfer RNA is filed under the name Felis catus (domestic cat). It matches the Rfam family "tRNA". Rfam says of the family: Transfer RNA (tRNA) molecules are approximately 80 nucleotides in length. Lineage: Eukaryota; Metazoa; Chordata; Mammalia; Carnivora; Felidae. The record is from Rfam by way of RNAcentral.